This is a long non-coding RNA of Pantherophis guttatus, 736 nucleotides long. RefSeq lists it as uncharacterized. The record is from RefSeq and is a predicted model, not a curated record. Lineage: Eukaryota; Metazoa; Chordata; Lepidosauria; Squamata; Colubridae.
AGUGGCUGAUUUCUUUCAUAUAACAAUGAUGCACUACAAUGACUGAAUUGGCUCACAACUGGAAGGUUCUUCUGAAUUCUUGUUGACUACUAUUCUUCUACUGGAAGAGGCUGUUGGAGAAUCUUCACAAAGUUACAUCUUGUAUAUUAACUCAAGCCAUUUCUGAACUGGAAAUUUUUCUCAUGGCUACUUAUGCCAUCAUCACCUCAAACUGUACCACUGCAAUUUGUCCUAUGUAGAGUUAUCCUUGAAGAUUAUUUGGAAGCUUCAGCUGGUAUAGAAAGCAGCCUGUAUAAUUAUGGGCAUUUUGAAAUCUGCCCAUGUAAUACUGUUAUUUUGGGAAUUGCCGUGCUGCCAGUUAGCUUCAGAGUGGAAUUCAAGAACCUUUUCUGGAUUGAAUCUGCCUGUUCAAUAAGACCAGGAAGGGAAAACUAGUUAAGACAUCUUCAGAAAUCCUGAGGGUGAGCCUUCUUAGUGAUGUCCCUCCUUCAAUGAUCCAGUCUGAAUCAAAAGCUGGGAGUCCCUAGCAACAGGGUGGGACUUAACAAUUAUGACAGACUCAGUCCUUCAAUCUGAACAGAUGAGUACAACCCAUGCCUGACUGCUGUCUCCACCCACAAUGGAGAACUAGUUAAGACAUCUUCAGAAAUCCUUCUUAGUGAUGUCCCUCCUUCAAUGGAAUAGAUUAUCUUUGUAUAUCCUAUCUACUAAAUGGAAAUAAAUAACUGGCUCCUUA